GUGCCAGCCGCCGCGGUAAUACAGAGGGUGCGAACGUUGCUCGGAAUUAUUGGGCGUAAAGCGCGUGUAGGCGGCCAACUAAGUCGACUGUGAAAGCCCUUGGCUCAACCAAGGAAGUGCAGCCGAAACUGGAUGGCUAGAGUCCUGAAGAGGGUGGCGGAAUGCCCAGUGUAGAGGUGAAAUUCGCAGAGAUUGGGUAGAACACCGGUGGCGAAGGCGGCCACCUGGGAAGGUACUGACGCUGAGACGCGAAAGCGUGGGGAGCAAACAGGAUUAGAAACCCUAGUAGUCC
This 292-nucleotide ribosomal RNA is filed under the name uncultured bacterium. RNAcentral describes it as "partial 16S ribosomal RNA". It matches the Rfam family "Bacterial small subunit ribosomal RNA", at positions 505 to 796 of the family's 1533-position model. The record is from RNAcentral.